This 497-nucleotide ribosomal RNA is filed under the name uncultured bacterium. Its description in RNAcentral is "partial 16S ribosomal RNA". It matches the Rfam family "Bacterial small subunit ribosomal RNA", at positions 28 to 507 of the family's 1533-position model. The record is from RNAcentral.
GAUGAACGCUGGCGGCGUGCCUAAUACAUGCAAGUCGAGCGAACAGACGAGGAGCUUGCUCCUCUGACGUUAGCGGCGGACGGGUGAGUAACACGUGGAUAACCUACCUAUAAGACUGGGAUAACUUCGGGAAACCGGAGCUAAUACCGGAACAUAUAUUGAACCGCAUGGUUCAAUAGUAAAAGACGGUUUUGCUGUCACUUAUAGAUGGAUCCGCGCCGCAUUAGCUAGUUGGUAAGGUAACGGCUUACCAAGGCAACGAUGCGUAGCCGACCUGAGAGGGGGAUCGGCCACCCUGGAACGGAGACACGGUCCAGACUCCUACGGGAGGCAGCAGUAGGGAAUCUUCCGCAAUGGGCGAAAGCCUGACGGAGCAACGCCGCGUGAGUGAGGAAGGUCUUCGGAUCGUAAAACUCUGUUAUUAGGGAAGAACAAAUGUGUAAGUAACUAUGCACGUCUUGACGGUACCUAAUCAGAAAGCCACGGCUAACUACGUG